RNAcentral lists this ribosomal RNA (301 nucleotides) under Thysanopoda cristata. RNAcentral describes it as "partial 16S ribosomal RNA". The record is from RNAcentral. Lineage: Eukaryota; Metazoa; Arthropoda; Malacostraca; Euphausiacea; Euphausiidae.
AAUCAUUAGUCUUUUAAUUGGGGGCCUGUAUGAACGAUUGAACAAGAAAUAUUCUGUCUUAAUAAAAUUUAUUGAAGUUAACUUUUAAGUAAAAAGGCUUAGAUGGGUUAAAGUGACGAUAAGACCCUAUAAAACUUUAUAAUUUUUAAUUGAAAAGAUGCAUUGGUUGUUCAAUUUUUUUCAGUAAAUUUUAUUUUAUUGGGGCGAUAGAAAUAUAAAGAGUAACUGUUUUUAAUGUUUGAAUGAUUAUUAUUAGAGAAUUAAUGAUCCUUUAUUAGAGAUUAUAAGAUUAAGUUACUUU